CAAGGACAGCCUCGAUGUUCUUUUCCCAUCCAUGAUCAGAUUCCAGUCUGACUGCAGCAAUGAGGGACGUGAUGGACCGCAAAAACAGGCA
Long non-coding RNA from Sinocyclocheilus grahami, 91 nucleotides. RefSeq lists it as uncharacterized. The transcript has 3 exons. Lineage: Eukaryota; Metazoa; Chordata; Actinopteri; Cypriniformes; Cyprinidae. The record is from RefSeq and is a predicted model, not a curated record.